This is a non-coding RNA of Homalodisca vitripennis (glassy-winged sharpshooter), 71 nucleotides long. Lineage: Eukaryota; Metazoa; Arthropoda; Insecta; Hemiptera; Cicadellidae. The record is from the annotation of a RefSeq genome assembly.
GGCUAUAUGGUGUAGUGGUAGCAUACUCGCCUGGCAAGUGAGAGAUCCGGGUUCGAGUCCCGGUGGAGCCA